RNAcentral lists this unclassified non-coding RNA (433 nucleotides) under soil metagenome. RNAcentral's name for it is "partial contains 5.8S ribosomal RNA, internal transcribed spacer 2, and large subunit ribosomal RNA". The stretch from base 1 to 120 matches the Rfam family "5.8S ribosomal RNA", at positions 35 to 154 of the family's 154-position model. The record is from RNAcentral.
GAUGAAGAACGCAGCGAAAUGCGAUACGUAAUGUGAAUUGCAGAAUUCAGUGAAUCAUCGAAUCUUUGAACGCAUAUUGCGCUCUCUGGUAUUCCGGAGAGCAUGCUUGUUUGUGUAUCAGUAAACACCUCAACUUCCAUAUCUUUUUUUGAAAUGGGAGUUGGACUUGAGUGAUCCCAACGCUUUUCCUCACCGAAAAGUGGCGGGUUACUUGAAAUGCAGGUGCAGCUGGACUUUUCUCUGAGCUAUAAGCAUAUCUAUUUAGUCUGCCUAAAAAACAGAUUAUUACCUUUGCUGCAGCUAACAUAAAGGAGAUUAGUUCUUGUGCUGACUGAUGCAGGAUUCACAAAGACAGCUUCGGCCGACUUUGUAAACUCGAUCUCAAAUCAAGUAAGACUACCCGCUGAACUUAAGCAUAUCAAUAAGCGGAGGA